This 23-nucleotide non-coding RNA is filed under the name Rattus norvegicus (Norway rat). The record is from RNAcentral. Lineage: Eukaryota; Metazoa; Chordata; Mammalia; Rodentia; Muridae.
AGAACAAUUAUGAGCCUUACACU